CAGAAAGACGUUGCAUGUCCUUACU
This 25-nucleotide small nuclear RNA is filed under the name Arabidopsis thaliana (thale cress). RNAcentral describes it as "snRNA_09879". The record is from RNAcentral. Lineage: Eukaryota; Viridiplantae; Streptophyta; Magnoliopsida; Brassicales; Brassicaceae.